Long non-coding RNA from Hemicordylus capensis (graceful crag lizard), 2856 nucleotides. RefSeq lists it as uncharacterized. Lineage: Eukaryota; Metazoa; Chordata; Lepidosauria; Squamata; Cordylidae. The transcript has 2 exons. The record is from RefSeq and is a predicted model, not a curated record.
CAAAGAAAAGCUGCCUUUUGCUCCCACGCAUUUGUUUUCAUUUCUAUGUGAAUCAAACUCCAUUAACUGACUAAACUCAUGCAAUUAAUCAACCAAGAUUCCGUUCACUGGAUGACAACUCGACUAAAUUCCACGUGACUGAGGAAAGCUCCUAGACCAUCUCCGCGAACUUCUGGGAGGGCACGACCAGCCCCCGGCCAAAGGGCGACGACCCAUUGCAGGGCGGGCGAACCAUCGAAGUCGUCCGCCAAAUCCAGGCUCGGGGGGGGAUUCGACAGCAAGUCUGGACGCAAAAACUUGCAAAAACGAGCGAAAUCUCUCCCGUCUGGUUGGCCAGCAGGAAAAAAGGGUCGCCCACCCCCCAUCCCUCUGUCUGCUGCCCCAACAGUGGGCGCCUCCUCCUCCUCCUCCCGCAGCCGCCCCGCUUUGCGCCAGAAGAGCCCCUCUCAGACGGGCGGGGGGCCGCGGGCGCCAGGCGACACGAAGCAGCGCCGGAGUGCAAGCCGGCAGGAAGGCCGCCCGCCAGCAACCCAAGAGGCAGGCGGAGGGCGGGGGGCUGCCUUGGUCCUCCUCGGCCAUGGCGGCCCCUCCCGCCAGAGGAGCAGCAGGAGCAGCAGCCCGUCCUCCGCCGGCCGCCGCCACGCCAACGCGCCACUGACUCGCUCUCGGUUACCUGGGCAAGCGCACGCCGGCGAGGCGAGGCGGCAGCGGCGACCCCAGCCAGCCAGCCAGCCACCUGCCCGCCAGGCAGCCAGAAGGAAGCCGCGCGAAGCGCCCCGUCCCGACGUGUCCAGCUGCGGGAGGAGGCGGGACUCGGGUCGGGGGCGGCAGCCAGGCAGCCCGCUGCGCGGAGGACGCGGCCCCCAAGGGGUGCAAGCGCCAGCCCCUCUCCGCGCUGGACUCGCCCUCCUCCGCCUCCUCCUCCGCCUCUCGCAGCGGCAGCAGCAUUUCCUGCCUCCUCCGGGAGCGCCCAGCAGCAGCAGCCGCAGCAGCAGCAGCAGCCCGAGGAGGCGGCAAGCGAGCCAGAAACGGCGGCGCCCUGAACUCGUUGGCAGCCGCCCGGGGGCCCCGCUGAGCUCCCGCGAGCUGCUGCUGAGGCGGCGGCGCAGGAGCCCCGGGCCCGUCCAAAGAGCCGCCGGGGCCAAGCAGCGGCAGCCGUGCUGGGGGAAGGGAGAGGCAGGCGAGGGAGAAGCACCCGGGCGGGAGCAGCACCGGCUUCGCCCCUCCCCAGACUUGGCGGCGGCCCCGGGGGGGGGGGGCCGCGGAGGGGCAAACCAGGCUUGGCCUGAUCCCCCCCGCGCAUCUGCUCACCCAGGCUUGGGACUGAGACUGUCUCGAUUGUUUCGAUCUUGUUUUAGAACAUUGUUCUAAGUUGUUGUGUUGCAAUUCUUGCUUGGGGUUUUAACUAAGGUUAUAAUGUUGUUUUUCUCUUCUUGUAAACCGCCCAGGGACGUAAGUUUUGGGUGGUAUAAAAAUAUGUGAAAUAAAAAUAAUAACAACUAAACAAAAAUAAUCAUAAUAACAGGAGGCCCCUGGGUCCUCUUACAGUUCCGUUUCUAGACACCAGGGCUCCCUGGCGCCUGGGACUUGUCGCGCCCCAUUCCCCCUGGUUUCAGUCUCCAGCUCUGGCUUAGUUCCCAACUGUCUGGCAGUGGGCCAGCCUCCUUCACUGGAGGCUUUCCAGGAGAGGUUGGUUGGAGCGCGGCCAGGGAUGUUCUCGACAUGUUCGGACAGCCCUGCACAAAGGAUCUGGCCAGCGGGGACGUCUUGCUGGCCCCCAGGGGGCUGCAUGGUACAAAUGAGAAGCAGCACCCAGCCAACAGGCAGACCUGAGCGCCCCCUCCCCAGGCCAAAGCAACAAACAGCCACAGCUCCAGGCUUGUGUGGGGCUUGGCUUCCUCCUCCCCUUCCUGCCGAUUCCAGCCCUGCUCCUCCCCUCAGCCAGAGCCUGGUGUGGGCAGCCCCACUGAGCCCCCCCCCCCCGAGUUUGCUUGGCCCCUCCUCCUCCUCUCUCUCUCUCUCUCCUUGCCUUUGCCACAGACAACUUCUGGGCCACCCAGAGACAUACAUUUGGGCAGGGUAUAAAUUAGAUAGAUAGAUAGAUAACUAUGCCAAGUGUCACACCAUCCCCCAGCUUGGGAAACGGUUCUCUCUCCCCCACCCUCACCUCCGACAUAUAGAAGCAAAAGUUCUCUCAUUCCUCAGCACCACCCAUCAAUCAAUCUUUAUUACAGCCAUAGACCAGCAUAAAGUAUAAGGGGUGGUUACACAGGGUAGAGGGACAUAAGGAUAAUAAAAGUAAGAAAAAUACACAAGAAGCAUAAGGGCAUCAUAAGCCAUAGAAGUCAUAAAAAGGCACAAAAGGCAUACAGAGACAUAAAAGGGAUGGGGGGCAUUUUUUAAAAGGUGAAAAAAGGUUAGAAGACAUAAAAAGACAAAAAUGCAUAAAAGCGAGAGUAAGAAAACUGAGUGUCAGGGAGCGUGGCGGCACCCCUCCUGGUGGCUGGCGUUCUUGGAACACGGCCGACCAACGGCAGCCCCACCCCUGCCUUGGGCAGCAAGGUUCUCUUCAGCAUCAACCAGGAGGCAAGCCUGUUCACUGAUCUUAUGAUACAGAAAUUAAAUGUCACAGCUCUCAUUUUAUCUGACUGACACCCAGAUUAAACUGCUCAUGAGUAGACCUAUUGGAAUUAAUGGGACAUGACUAACUUAAUUUCAAUGUGAGUGAUUUAAUCUGGAUGUAACCCACUGUCUUUAUGUCUUGAAUUAUAUAUAUUUUAGUAAUUGCUUUAAUAAUUAUGUUUGAUUUGUUUUAAUGCAAGAACAAAAUAUUAAAUAAAUAAAUAUUUCUACUUA